Molecule: long non-coding RNA, 1189 nt
Organism: Labeo rohita (rohu)
Lineage: Eukaryota; Metazoa; Chordata; Actinopteri; Cypriniformes; Cyprinidae
Exons: 3
Source: RefSeq, a predicted model, not a curated record
CUUGCAUUUCCCCCCAAAUGAGCUCCUCUUCUUCCUGUACUUCACUCCUGUAUCGGUGAGCAAAACAACAACACAGAAGAGAUUUCUGCAACUAUAUCUGAUAACAAAGAGGACAUCCUUUCAAGGACGCUCUCUUUGCAAAAGUGAAUUCAACAUACUUUAGUCUUGAAGCUUGAAAGAAAAGCUUGAAGAAUCAAGGUACAUUUUGAGAUUUUCAACUUAUCUCAUUCAUCUCACUCAAGAGUCUCAGAGAGCCAGUCUUUCUACUGCUUCAAAGUGUUGUCUGGAACACGAUGAGAACCCUGUAUGACUUGUCUGAUCUGAGAGAGGUCAAGUUUGGUCAGCCACAUCCCAGACAUGGCCUGAAUUUGUUGUGGUGGUUUGCUCAUGACUGUGUUCGGAUUGACCUCAAUCAACGUAUGAGUGCACGCUGCAACCCUGCAAACGGAGAGUUUGGUUUCCACCGAUUCCAUAAUGCUUGCAGACUUCUUCCUUACACUAACCUACAAUACUAUGAGGUGGGCAACCUGAACACCCCUGGUUCACUGCCUGAUUAUGUCACUAGAUAUUACACAGGAUGGUCAGACAGCAGUAACACAGAUCGCAUCAUAGUUUCUUUUAACUCAAGGUGGAACAGAUUUGAGAGUAUUUAUGUAACGCAGCACUCCGAUCUGACAGACUUUGACCAGAAUCACACUUACUGCAUUAGCAUUAAUCUUCUGAAGAGAAUUCGAAUGUUGAGGCGUGAACACUUCCGCAGAGAAAUGAUGAAUAUACAAAUGCAUCCUUAUCAGAUGUAUUCCCAGCAAAAUUACAACAUACACUCACAGUCUACAUCUUCACUUCAGUCACUGCAGAAUCAAAGGUCACAACAAUCUACCGGGAAUUUCUGUGAUUGCAGCUCCAAGCUGAUUUGCGCACUGAUUUCCGCUCUGUUGAUCUGGUUUGUGUUUGUCUUCAUUCUUUUCAAAAUGGCAAACACAGUUUAAUCAACUGCUGUAUGUUUUUUCCCAGCAAAUUUUGGAUUGACAAUCUGAAUACAUGUAAAUGCUUGACUUUAUAUAUUUACAAUAUUGAGCAUCACAUAUUUCUUUUGAAUGGUCACGGUAAUGAUGUAAACAAAUAUGAAACAAUUAAAGGUACCAAAUGUAAAACUUCAAGAUUACAUAAUAAAAUCACUAUGAAAUUG